AUACGUAGGGGGCGAGCGUUGUCCGGAAUUACUGGGCGUAAAGGGUGCGUAGGCGGUCUUUUAAGUCAGAUGUGAAAUACCAGGGCUCAACCUUGGGGGUGCAUUUGAAACUGGGGGACUUGAGUGCAGGAGAGGAAAGUGGAAUUCCUAGUGUAGCGGUGAAAUGCGUAGAGAUUAGGAGGAACACCAGUGGCGAAGGCGACUUUCUGGACUGUAACUGACGCUGAGGCACGAAAGCGUGGGGAGCAAACAGGAUUAGAUACCCUGGUAGUCCACGCCGUAAACGAUGGAUACUAGGUGUAGGGGGUAUCGACCCCCUCUGUGCCGGAGUUAACGCAAUAAGUAUCCCGCCUGGGGAGUACGGCCGCAAGGUUGAA
This 377-nucleotide ribosomal RNA is filed under the name uncultured bacterium. RNAcentral describes it as "bacterial SSU rRNA". It matches the Rfam family "Bacterial small subunit ribosomal RNA", at positions 523 to 898 of the family's 1533-position model. The record is from RNAcentral.